This 649-nucleotide ribosomal RNA is filed under the name uncultured Candidatus Poseidoniales archaeon. RNAcentral's name for it is "bacterial SSU rRNA". It matches the Rfam family "Archaeal small subunit ribosomal RNA", at positions 1 to 656 of the family's 1478-position model. The record is from RNAcentral. Lineage: Archaea; Methanobacteriati; Thermoplasmatota; Candidatus Poseidoniia; Candidatus Poseidoniales.
UUCUGGUUGAUCCUGCCGGAGGCUACCGCUAUUGGAGUUCGAUUAAGCCAUGCGAGUCGAGAGUCUUAGGGACUCGGCGUACCGCUCAGUAACACGUGGGUAACCUGCCCUAUGCUGGGGAAUAACCUCGGGAAACUGAGAAUAAUACCUCAUAGUCCACAAUGCCUGGAACGGUUUGUGGAUUAAAGCCCCGGCGGCAUAGGAUGGGCCUGCGGCGUAUCAGGUUGUAGGGGGUGUAACGUACCCUCUAGCCAUCAACACGUACGGGUGUUGGGAGACAUAGCCCGGAGAUGGAUUCUGAGACACGAAUCCAGACCCUACGGGGUGCAGCAGGCGCGAAAACUUGGCAAUGCGAGAAAUCGUGACCAGGGAACUCCAAGUGGCUGGGGUAAGACCCAGUCUUUUCUUGACUCUUCAAAGGUCUUGGAAUAAGAGGUGGGUAAGGACGGUGCCAGCCGCCGCGGUAAUACCGGCGCCUCAAGUGGUAGUCGAUUUUAUUGGGCCUAAAACGUCCGUAGCCUGUUUGGUACAUUCGUGGGUAAAUCAACCAGCUUAACUGGUUGAAUUCUGCGAGCACGGCCAGACUUGGGACCGGGAGAGGUGUGGGGUACGCUCAGGGUAGGGGUAAAAUCCUGUCAUCCUGAGCGGA